Molecule: ribosomal RNA, 550 nt
Filed under: uncultured bacterium
Lineage: Bacteria
Description: bacterial SSU rRNA
Rfam family: Bacterial small subunit ribosomal RNA
Source: RNAcentral
UAGGGAAUCUUCGGCAAUGGGGGCAACCCUGACCGAGCAACGCCGCGUGAGUGAAGAAGGUUUUCGGAUCGUAAAGCUCUGUUGUAAGAGAAGAACGAGUGUGAGAAUGGAAAGUUCAUACUGUGACGGUACUUAACCAGAAAGGGACGGCUAACUACGUGCCAGCAGCCGCGGUAAUACGUAGGUCCCGAGCGUUGUCCGGAUUUAUUGGGCGUAAAGCGAGCGCAGGCGGUUAGAAAAGUCUGAAGUGAAAGGCAGUGGCUCAACCAUUGUAGGCUUUGGAAACUGUUUAACUUGAGUGCAGAAGGGGAGAGUGGAAUUCCAUGUGUAGCGGUGAAAUGCGUAGAUAUAUGGAGGAACACCGGUGGCGAAAGCGGCUCUCUGGUCUGUAACUGACGCUGAGGUUCGAAAGCGUGGGUAGCAAACAGGAUUAGAUACCCUGGUAGUCCACGCCGUAAACGAUGAAUGCUAGGUGUUGGAGGGUUUCCGCCCUUCAGUGCCGCAGCUAACGCAAUAAGCACUCCGCCUGGGGAGUACGACCGCAAGGUUG